UGGUGGACAGUUACUUGGAUAACUGUGGUAAUUCUAGAGCUAAUACAUGCAACUCGGUCCCGACCGGAAGCGGAAGGGACGCUUUUAUUAKAUCAAAAUCAAUCGGGCGCUCSCGUCCGUUUGCCUUGGUGACUCUGAAUAAAUUGUGGCAGAUCGCACGGUCUCCGUACCGGCGACGCAUCUUUCAAAUGUCUGCCUUAUCAACUGUCGAUGGUAGGUUCUGCGCCUACCAUGGUUGUAACGGGUAACGGGGAAUCAGGGUUCGAUUCCGGAGAGGGAGCCUGAGAAACGGCUACCACAUCCAAGGAAGGCAGCAGGCGCGCAAAUUACCCACUCCCGGCACGGGGAGGUAGUGACGAAAAAUAACGAUACGGGACUCAUCCGAGGCCCCGUAAUCGGAAUGAGCACACUUUAAAUCCUUUAACGAGUAUCCAUUGGAGGGCAAGUCUGGUGCCAGCAGCCGCGGUAAUUCCAGCUCCAAUAGCGUAU
RNAcentral lists this ribosomal RNA (489 nucleotides) under Perisphaeria sp. MNHN BL122. RNAcentral describes it as "SSU rRNA". It matches the Rfam family "Eukaryotic small subunit ribosomal RNA", at positions 125 to 604 of the family's 1831-position model. Lineage: Eukaryota; Metazoa; Arthropoda; Insecta; Blattodea; Blaberidae. The record is from RNAcentral.